UACGUAGGGGGCACGCGUUGUCCGGAUUUACUGGGCGUAAAGCGCGUGUAGGCGGCCAUACAGGUCCGUUGUGAAAACUGGAGGCUCAACUUCCAGACGUCGACGGAAACCGUGUGGCUAGAGUCCGGAAGAGGAGAGUGGAAUUCCUGGUGUAGCGGUGAAAUGCGCAGAUAUCAGGAGGAACACCGGUGGCGAAGGCGGGUCUCUGGGCCGAUACUGACGCUGAGGAGCGAAAGCGUGGGGAGCGAACAGG
Molecule: ribosomal RNA, 253 nt
Filed under: uncultured bacterium
Lineage: Bacteria
Description: partial 16S ribosomal RNA
Rfam family: Bacterial small subunit ribosomal RNA
Source: RNAcentral